Molecule: ribosomal RNA, 255 nt
Filed under: uncultured bacterium
Lineage: Bacteria
Description: partial 16S ribosomal RNA
Rfam family: Bacterial small subunit ribosomal RNA
Source: RNAcentral
UACGGGGGGAGCAAGCGUUGUUCGGAUUUACUGGGCGUAAAGGGCGCGUAGGCGGCCACCGCAAGUCGACUGUGAAAUCUCCGGGCUUAACUCGGAAAGGUCAGCCGAUACUGCGGGGCUAGAGUGCAGAAGGGGCAACUGGAAUUCUCGGUGUAGCGGUGAAAUGCGUAGAUAUCGAGAGGAACACCUGCGGCGAAGGCGGGUUGCUGGGCUGACACUGACGCUGACAGCGCGAAAGCUAGGGGAGCGAACGGG